This 817-nucleotide ribosomal RNA is filed under the name Wickerhamomyces sp. RNAcentral describes it as "partial large subunit ribosomal RNA". It matches the Rfam family "Eukaryotic large subunit ribosomal RNA", at positions 48 to 881 of the family's 3401-position model. The record is from RNAcentral. Lineage: Eukaryota; Fungi; Ascomycota; Saccharomycetes; Phaffomycetales; Wickerhamomycetaceae.
AAGCGGAGGAAAAGAAACCAACAGGGAUUGCCUCAGUAACGGCGAGUGAAGCGGCAAAAGCUCAAAUUUGAAAUCUAGCACCUUUGGUGUUCGAGUUGUAAUUUGAAGAUGGUAACCUUGGGUUUGGCUCUUGUCUAUGUUCCUUGGAACAGGACGUCAUAGAGGGUGAGAAUCCCGUCUGAUGAGAUGCCCAUUCCUUUGUAAGGUACUAUCGAAGAGUCGAGUUGUUUGGGAAUGCAGCUCUAAGUGGGUGGUAAAUUCCAUCUAAAGCUAAAUAUUGGCGAGAGACCGAUAGCGAACAAGUACAGUGAUGGAAAGAUGAAAAGAACUUUGAAAAGAGAGUGAAAAAGUACGUGAAAUUGUUGAAAGGGAAGGGCAUUAGAUCAGACUUGGUGUUGUGCGAUUAUCUUCUCUUCUUGAGUUGUGCACUCGUACUUCACUGGGCCAGCAUCGAUUCGGAUGGCAGGAUAAUGACAGUUGAACGUGGCACCACUUCGGUGGUGUGUUAUAGCCUCUGUUGAUACUGCCUGUCUGGAUCGAGGGCUGCGUCUUUUGACUAGGAUGCUGGCGUAAUGAUCUAAUGCCGCCCGUCUUGAAACACGGACCAAGGAGUCUAACGUCUAUGCGAGUGUUUGGGUGUAAAACCCGUACGCGUAAUGAAAGUGAACGUAGGUGAGAGCUCUUCGGAGUGCAUCAUCGACCGAUCCUGAUGUUUUCAGAUGGAUUUGAGUAAGAGCAUAGCUGUUGGGACCCGAAAGAUGGUGAACUAUGCCUGAAUAGGGUGAAGCCAGAGGAAACUCUGGUGGAGGCUCGUAGC